AUAAUUGUAGUACACAUUUAUUUUUAUUUUUUUUUGUUAUGUGGUAGUAUUCCUUAAAUGUAAAUGAUAAGUAGUUAGAAUUUAGUUUACAAUUAGUCGGUUUUGGAUUUUUUUUUUAUAUAAAUAAUUUGAAUCAAUAAGUCCAUGUCAAAAUUCUUUAAUGAUUUUUUUUUCUUUCCUCCAAAUAUUAUGUUACUGAUAAGUGGAUAACCUAUAAAAUUUUUUUAAUCUAUCAAAAUUAACCAUAAAUCUCAUUUAUAGGCAAUAACAAGCUACUUAACAUUUGGGUUGUGUGGUUCCUAUUUUGAUUUCGGUUCAGUUCUUUAUAAGAACCAAAAUCAGAACUGAAGUUCGAUUUUUUCAUUUUUUGGAACCAAAAGAAGAACCAAAUUUUAGUUUCGAUUUUGGUUCCGACUCUAAGUGCUUUCGGUUCCGAUUCAGUUCUGCUUUCGAUUUCAUUUUCAAUUUCAAUUUCAAUUCGGUUUAAUUUUUGGUUCCUACACUUAAAAUUGGAGUAUUA
RNAcentral lists this unclassified non-coding RNA (520 nucleotides) under Hevea brasiliensis (rubber tree). The record is from RNAcentral. Lineage: Eukaryota; Viridiplantae; Streptophyta; Magnoliopsida; Malpighiales; Euphorbiaceae.